This 723-nucleotide long non-coding RNA is filed under the name Pogona vitticeps (central bearded dragon). Its description in RNAcentral is "lncRNA (ENSPVIG00000015030.1)". The record is from RNAcentral. Lineage: Eukaryota; Metazoa; Chordata; Lepidosauria; Squamata; Agamidae.
CCUACGGCUCAAAUCCUGAGGGCUUUUUGCCCCUUCACAGGAACUCGCCCCUUGGCCACUUUCUAGCUCGAGCCCUUGCCUGCGCUUUGGUGAGGUCCCGUGGGAUCCCGUGGGCUUCGUGUCCUAGUGAAGUUCACCUGACCUCACACCUGAACGACAGUCGUUGGCCUGUCAGGUUUAAUUUCCCCGAUUUAGGGAUCGUUUAUGGUGUUUGAAUUACGGUCUUCCUUUUUUCCAGAAAAAUGCUCUGCUUGUUGUAAGCCCCCUAGAGUGGUCUUAAUUGACUAGAUAGGCGGGAUAUAAAUAUAAAUAAAUAAAUAAUAACCAGUGCAGGCGUUACAUAACGCUUAGUUAUUCAUGUUUUUUUCCACUUUGAAGAAUAUCGAAGGCCGCUUUUUGCCCUGGCACUGUUUCGGGAGACAAAUAUCUUUGUUGUUUCAGGCAACUGGCGUUAAACAAAAUGGACAGAACUCAUUCUGAAACGAAUGAAGAAAAAGACUUCACAGAUCGUACAAAUAAAAGAUAUUCCUCAAUUUUAAAAGCUCCCAGAACUCCUCUUCGAGAUUUAGGGAGUGGAAAUGAAUUAAUUCAGGUAAGCAUUAAAGUUUUCUGUGCCAGUAUUUUAGAAAUGAGACCUUUUUCAAUUUAUUUCAGUGUCUGCAACCUCUUACAAGCUGAAACAUUUAUUAUACUUGAGGGAAUGACUUCUUCCCAUAUUUACAU